GAUGAACGCUGGCGGCGUGCCUAAUACAUGCAAGUCGAGCGAACAGACGAGGAGCUUGCUCCUCUGACGUUAGCGGCGGACGGAUGAGUAACACGUGGAUAACCUACCUAUAAGACUGGGAUAACUUCGGGAAACCGGAGCUAAUACCGGAUAAUAUAUUGAACCGCAUGGUUCAAUAGUGAAAGACGGUUUUGCUGUCACUUAUAGAUGGAUCCGCGCCGCAUUAGCUAGUUGGUAAGGUAACGGCUUACCAAGGCAACGAUGCGUAGCCGACCUGAGAGGGUGAUCGGCCACACUGGAACUGAGACACGGCCCAGACUCCUACGGGAGGCAGCAGUAGGGAAUCUUCCGCAAUGGGCGAAAGCUUGACGGAGCAACGCCGCGUGAGUGAUGAAGGUCUUCGGAUCGUAAAACUCUGUUAUUAGGGAAGAACAAAUGUGUAAGUAACUAUGCACGUCUUGACGGUACCUAAUCAGAAAGCCACGGCUAACUACGUG
RNAcentral lists this ribosomal RNA (497 nucleotides) under uncultured bacterium. RNAcentral describes it as "partial 16S ribosomal RNA". It matches the Rfam family "Bacterial small subunit ribosomal RNA", at positions 28 to 507 of the family's 1533-position model. The record is from RNAcentral.